This is a long non-coding RNA of Ostrinia nubilalis (European corn borer), 3674 nucleotides long. RefSeq lists it as uncharacterized. NCBI's taxonomy places the organism in Eukaryota, Metazoa, Arthropoda, Insecta, Lepidoptera, Crambidae. The record is from RefSeq and is a predicted model, not a curated record. The transcript is spliced from 4 exons.
CGCAGGAUUGUGGUGGACAAUAAAUCGACACUAGCGUACAAGGACGUCUUUGUUUACUGAGGUAGAAAGACACGCCUCGAGUAUUUCACUAAUCUAGUGAUGUGAGCAGAUCACAUUUUUCCAUCGCUAAAACUGUUCAAGUGAACAAGUUAUAUAAAAAAAAAAGAGUGGUUCAAGUCAGUCUCUUCACAAUAACAUGAAAAUGUGUCCCUAAAGAAACAGGCAAACUUGGCGUAAGGGCGGGUGAGAGAAGCAUAACGAUGGAGGAAUAUAAACAUGUUUUCGUCAUAUCUAAGUCAUAAUAUUUGCAGAAUUAGUGCGCGUUCAGUUCAUUGGAAAUGGGUGUGGUAUAGAAACUACUAGCAAGAAAAAUCAAAAAGGCGAUGCUGAUGGUGGAUUUAUAAUCCGGCAAGGUCUUCGCAUUUCGCAAGGAAACAUAACCGAAUAACGUCCGAAUGCAACGGAAUCGGAACUAAAACAAUACUUUCCACUUCGAGCACUGUGCGAGCACGGGAAGUUAACGGUCUGCCGUAAACAGGGACACUCAUUUCAUUUAAGCACGUCAUCCAACAGUGGUAACGGUAUAUGAACAACGAUGGCAACUACGAUGAGUCACACAAUGUGAUUACAAUGGCACGAGUGCCUCAUGAGCUCCGAAAUUAAUUUCCGCUCUACUAAAAAUCCAAAGGGUGUUCUCCAUCGAUGCAUUAAGUAAACAAAGUCACAUUUGCGCUUCGAUUGUUGGCAAUGAUGAAAAUAUUGCAUCAAUGGCACACUACGGGCAUCAAAAAGCCAAUAUGCCGUAGACAUUUUUAGUGUCUGGAAUUAAUAAACAAAAUAAACACAAGGUGCACCGGUGACCAACGAACGGCUGUAAUUUGCAUGGGCAAUAAAUAACGGCGCGGCGGAGAUAGCAUCGCGCCCUGUUCGCUUCACUCGCACUAUCAUAUAAUAACUUAUACGAGCUAGCUACUAUCACUAGUUGAACGCCCUGUCUUGGCACCGUUUACGCGAUCCAACAGACGAGUUAUCACAAUAAGUUUGUUUUCUCCGCUGUGUUGCCUUUUCAGUUAAAAGAAAACCUUUAAGAGUAAAUUUUGAAAUCUAACAAUUACAGACUGGAAAUAUUCUAACUACAAUCCGAAUGCCCCUGAAAAGCCCAACGGCAGUAUUUAAUAUCAAAAUACAUACUCUACAUCCCUUAAUUAGCAAUGAAGAAUUUGAAAUAAGUUGAUUAUUUUACCAUCUUAUUUUUUUUUAACUAACAUGCUAAUUAUUUACUACAUGAGGAAUUUUGAUGCAGUUUUUUAUAUUUUAUAAGGGACAAGCAUAUCCCAGGCCCCAGUCAUACACAGCCAGACUAGUAAUGUGAUAAACAAACAACCACAUAUAGAAGGGAAUCCGAACUAAUCAGUUUUAUGAAGCCCUUUGUUGACUUGUGAGUAAACAACGUGAGUCAAGAAUAAUAACUUAUUUAUAGAAUGAAAUAUAUUGUGGUUUUAAUAUCGUUGGGUUUUAUACUUCAAUAAAUUUCAACUACAAAACGCUGGACUUUAUCCUAAUUGCACAACAAUGCACUGGAAUUUAAGUCCCAAUAAAAGAUGGCUGAUUCCAGAAGAAUGCAGUCUCAUCAUUUUUUUUUUCACACAAUGGCCUGAUUGUCAAUAGGAAAUGGAGCCCUUCCUUGUUAUGGCAAUGCUCUAUUCAACAGCCGUAUUAUGAAAAUACGACAGAUGAGCCGUGCUGCCAUGUCGCGCGACGCCGUGGCAUUUGGUAAACAUGCAAGAAGACCCAUAUGCGCUCAAGUUACUUUAGCGCAUGAUUCUACUUAUUUUCUGAUUCAGAUAUGAUAUUACCUAGCUAGACUUGCGAGUCCAGGAGUGAAUACUCAUUACAGUAUUAAAAAGUUACAGCUUACAAUCCUAGUUAUCUUUACUGAACAAUGCAAACUGCAAUAUGCAAUACAACACAAACAAACGUAAUUCGUACCUAAUGUAAAGAAGAACCCUUAUAAAAAUCAAGCAGCCCCCAUGAAUUGGCACGCGCUUUUGUUCAACACAAGGGUGUUAAAAUAACUUAUUCUCCUGUGAUUAAUAAAGUGUAACAACAUCAACAAAAGCCGAGCGAUGUGUAUUUAUUUACUGCCGGAAGACCACUACCGGGACUCAGCGUUACGACCGAGUAACCAAGUAUUAAAAUAGCAUUAAUAGAGGAACUUGCUAAUGAUUUUUUUAAUUUGCAUUUAUUGUUGUAGUAAGUAUAAAUAAUUCAUGUAAAUUGUAGAUUUCAAAUUCUAUAUAAAAUAGAACACACUUUCACAGACUCAAAUUCGUAUUCUAGUUAGGUAUACAAUAAACGCCAUCGAAUAUCUAAUGAAUAAACAGAAUAAAAAUCGAAAAUGUUAUUGGUGUUUAAUUUUUAAGGACAUUGUGACAAAGGACAUCUAUGGACAAAACAUUGAUGGUCAUACAUUUAACAAUUUGAGAGUUUAAUGAUAUUUUCAAAGAUAAUAAACAUUUUGAGAAGUAAACAUAAUUAUUAAGUGUUGCGUCUUUCGGUUGUAACUUUCAAUAAAAGACGCUUGUAUUUAGACAAAAUCGUAAGGGAAGAUGCCGUCACGAGUCUUCAAUGAACUAAGUGUCGCGAUAUCGUCGUUAACAAUGGCGGCUCAAGUUUGGUUAGCACGGAUAUAGCACCACUUUGAAUUAUAAUGCGCAUUGUUUCUCGCGCCCGCCCGGCUCGGGUGCAAUGCACUACGACGCAAUACUUACUUGUCAUAGAAAUCGGCUGUUUCCAGUCGGAUGAGCUCGAGGCGCAAGGUCGUAAUGCCCGAAUCAAUGAUAAACCAAACUAAUCAGAAUUUUGCAUUAAUAACACGACUGUGAGGACCAGCUAUAAAUUUUAUAAUGUUUCCCCUGAUUUUUUGUUUAAUUUUAUUUUUUAGGGAACUGGUCUGUGAAUUCUGAGAUUACUAUCGAAUUUCUUUUUAGCAUCGAGGUUCAAAACAGUAAAAUUUUAAUUUAAGUAACUUCAAAAAGUCAAUUUUAGAAAUAAGAAUGGCUCUACUUCAGUGGCAUCAAAAGAAAUGAGAUCUUUUCCUAAUUUUGAGAAAGUUACAUUGAAUGAUAAACGCGAGGAAAAUCAACACUUUGUUGGACACCUUUUAUGUGAGCCAACUUUUUCAAUGAUACGAUAAAUUCAUUUUAUUGGUUUACACCUCGUUAAUUAAUUACCAGACACUGAUUUUAUUAGUAAACAGUGCAAAGUAUACUUUUUUGGUUUCAUAUAAAGUAUAAAGCCACUUAAUUGCGAUUUUUUUCGCCCAUAAAUAACAGUUGCUGCUUUUUAUUUUCACUUAUUAGUACGAUUAAGUAGGACAUUGAAUUAGCAAUAACCCUGUAUGUUUAGAAAAAGAUGGAAUACAUUUUUUGCACUUGGUUUGGGGUAUUGUUACGAUAACACGUGUUUACGACAUGAUGUGCAAAGAUAUUAUGGAUUAGUGUGAAAAAAAAAAGACCGUUAGGAAGAACAACGCGUGAAUCGUGCGAGCGCCCUCGUACCAGUUGUAAUAACACGUGUGCAUGAUUUCACAUUAUAGCUUUUAAUUUGCUCGUCGGAAGACCAAUGCCUCGACCUAAUUGUAAAUCGAAACUAUUUUUAUACACUCGCAUUAU